CUUCAUUAAGAGUGAAGGGAGAUGUUUAAGUGACUCGCGGACCAUGAUACACAGUUGCGUGACUACUUUCAUAUCGUCGGUGAGAAACGAGGAGAUAUUUUCCACCGGCGGGAUUUCAACGGCGGUGAAAUCGGCCGGGAGAUUCUCCGGUCGGAAAAGUUCGUUCUGAGCAGCGGAAGCUGCGGUGGUGAUGACGAAGAAGCUGACGUGGAAGCCGUGAUGUAUGACGAGGCGUUUGGCGAAUUCGAAUAACGGAGUAAUGUGCCCCAUGCCGGGG
Molecule: unclassified non-coding RNA, 277 nt
Filed under: Hevea brasiliensis (rubber tree)
Lineage: Eukaryota; Viridiplantae; Streptophyta; Magnoliopsida; Malpighiales; Euphorbiaceae
Source: RNAcentral